Molecule: long non-coding RNA, 1528 nt
Filed under: Equus caballus (horse)
Lineage: Eukaryota; Metazoa; Chordata; Mammalia; Perissodactyla; Equidae
Description: lncRNA (ENSECAG00000054146.1)
Source: RNAcentral
CAUGGUUCUGGAGUUGGCAGGGCUCAGCUGGGUGGUUCUUGCUUAGUCUCUCACACAGCUGCAGUCAGAUGGCGGCUGGGCUUGAGUCAGCAAACGCUCCACUGGGCUUCCUGCGCAGGAAGCUCAUUCACACAGCUGGGAGCUCAGCUGAGGCUGUCGACCGGCGUGCCCACAGGUGGAUUCACUGCACAGGUUGGACUCUGCACUGCAUGGCAGCUGGGUUGCAAGAGGAGUGUCCCAGGGUUGGCCCGGUAGCACAGCGGUUAAGUGCACACAUUCCACUUUGGAAGCCUGGGGUUCGCCAGUUCGGAUCCGGGGUGCGGACACAGCAUUGCUUGGCAAGCCACGCUGUGGCAGGCGCCCCACAUAUACAGUGGAGGAAGAUGGGCAUGGAUGUUAGCUCAGGGCCAGUCUUCCUCAGCAAAAAGAGGAGGAUUGGCAGCAGAUGUUAGCUCAGGGCUAAUCUGCCUCAAAUAAAUAAAUAAAUAAAUAAAUAAAAAGAGGAGUGUCCCAAGGCCAGGUGUUUCAAGAGGGCUGUGCAGAGUCUACAAGGCUUCUGAUGACCUAGUCUCACAAGUCCCAGAAUGUCCCCUCUGCUACAUUCUUUUUGGCCAAGAAAGUGACUAAGGCCGGCCUAGGUUCACGGGGAGGGGAAGGAGACGCCAUCUCUUGAUGUGAGGAGCAGUGGGAGGACACAGGGAGGGCAAGGACUGAUGGGGCCAUCUUUGGAGACUGGCUACCAUGAUAACUCUCUGCUAACUCAGUCAGAGCUCUCGGGGAGGACUGGGGUGGUUAUAGCAGGAAUGCAACGAGACAGGCAGUCAGUGGUUUCAAAUUCUCUCUUGAAAUCCACAGCAAAGACAGGGCAUUUGGUCAUAAUUGCCGGUUAAGAGAAAACAACCUGAGGGACUCAAAACUUGAAAUUGAUGCCAUGAACAGUAGAUAGGGAAGAAUGCAGAAGCUGUCUUUCUGCCCGAAAGGAAAUAAAUUUGACCAGCUAGUGGAGGAGGGGAAUCAUAUGGAGAUAACUAACGGUAGAUACUACAUCUCCCAAAAGAAAUUUGGGGUGUCCCAGAGUAGAAGGGGCUGUUGCCUGGCUUCUCAUGGUGUUGCCCAGGAGAUGGAAGCCUCCCAGCUCAGGCUGGAGAGGUUGAGAGCCCUAUGGGAGGAGGCGUCUGACAGAUGAGCCUGGGGGUGGCCUCAAGUCUCGUGUGUCCUGUAGCAAGGUACUGUUGGCGAGGACACAGGGGAGGGUUUGAGUUUAGCUGGUGGACUUGGGAAUGCUUUGUGGUCAGGACAAGGAUUCUUUGGAGAUGUCUUGGCUUAGCGGAUGGGAGUGGAGAAGUCCCGGAUCAGAUAUACACCCUGGUGCCAGGUCAAGAUAGGAGAUCCCAGAACCCUGACCACCCUCAGGGAGAAGGGAAGGAGCAGUAGGAAGCAGGGAAGCUGGAAGUAGACCAAGAGUCUACUUAAGAAAGGUCCAGCUGUGACUGCAUUUACCUUGAACAAGAUGAAGCUUGCGUUACUG